Molecule: ribosomal RNA, 512 nt
Filed under: uncultured bacterium
Lineage: Bacteria
Description: bacterial SSU rRNA
Rfam family: Bacterial small subunit ribosomal RNA
Source: RNAcentral
AGAGUUGAUCAUGGCUCAGGAUGAACGCUAGCUACAGGCUUAACACAUGCAAGUCGAGGGGUAGCAGGGUAGCAAUACCGCUGACGACCGGCGCACGGGUGAGUAACACGUAUCCAACCUUCCCAUAACUCAGGGAUAGCCCUUCGAAAGAAAGAUUAAUACCUGAUGGUACUUAUAUAAGGCAUCUUUUAUAAGUUAAAGAUUUAUUGGUUAUGGAUGGGGAUGCGUUCCAUUAGAUAGUUGGUGAGGUAACGGCUCACCAAGUCUUCGAUGGAUAGGGGUUCUGAGAGGAAGGUCCCCCACAUUGGUACUGAGACACGGACCAAACUCCUACGGGGGGCAGCAGUGAGGAAUAUUGGUCAAUGGGCGCGAGCCUGAACCAGCCAAGUAGCGUGAAGGAUGAAGGUCCUAUGGAUUGUAAACUUCUUUUAUAGUAGAAUAAAGUGAGCCACGUGUGGUUUUUUGUAUGUAUACUAUGAAUAAGGAUCGGCUAACUCCGUGCCAGCAGCUGC